CUGUGAGGGUUGCUGGAGGUAUCAGAAGUGCGAAUGCUGACAUAAGUAACGAUAAAGCGGGUGAAAAGCCCGCUCGCCGGAAGACCAAGGGUUCCUGUCCAACGUUAAUCGGGGCAGGGUGAGUCGACCCCUAAGGCGAGGCCGAAAGGCGUAGUCGAUGGGAAACAGGUUAAUAUUCCUGUACUUGGUGUUACUGCGAAGGGGGGACGGAGAAGGCUAUGUUAGCCGGGCGACGGUUGUCCCGGUUUAAGCAUGUAGGCU
RNAcentral lists this ribosomal RNA (261 nucleotides) under Klebsiella pneumoniae. RNAcentral describes it as "partial 23S ribosomal RNA". It matches the Rfam family "Bacterial large subunit ribosomal RNA", at positions 1261 to 1526 of the family's 2925-position model. Lineage: Bacteria; Pseudomonadati; Pseudomonadota; Gammaproteobacteria; Enterobacterales; Enterobacteriaceae. The record is from RNAcentral.